This 490-nucleotide ribosomal RNA is filed under the name uncultured bacterium. RNAcentral describes it as "partial 16S ribosomal RNA". It matches the Rfam family "Bacterial small subunit ribosomal RNA", at positions 30 to 507 of the family's 1533-position model. The record is from RNAcentral.
AUUGAACGCUGGCGGCAGGCCUAACACAUGCAAGUCGAACGGUAACAGGAAGCAGCUUGCUGCUUCGCUGACGAGUGGCGGACGGGUGAGUAAUGUCUGGGAAGCUGCCUGAUGGAGGGGGAUAACUACUGGAAACGGUAGCUAAUACCGCAUAAUGUCGCAAGACCAAAGAGGGGGACCUUCGGGCCUCUUGCCAUCGGAUGUGCCCAGAUGGGAUUAGCUUGUUGGUGGGGUAACGGCUCACCAAGGCGACGAUCCCUAGCUGGUCUGAGAGGAUGACCAGCCACACUGGAACUGAGACACGGUCCAGACUCCUACGGGAGGCAGCAGUGGGGAAUAUUGAACAAUGGGCGCAAGCCUGAUGCAGCCAUGCCGCGUGUAUGAAGAAGGCCUUCGGGUUGUAAAGUACUUUCAGCGGGGAGGAAGGGAGUAAAGUUAAUACCUUUGCUCAUUGACGUUACCCGCAGAAGAAGCACCGGCUAACUCCGUG